GGGUUGUGAGGUUAAGCGACUAAGCGUACACGGUGGAUGCCCUGGCAGUCAGAGGCGAUGAAGGACGUGCUAAUCUGCGAUAAGCGUCGGUAAGGUGAUAUGAACCGUUAUAACCGGCGAUUUCCGAAUGGGGAAACCCAGUGUGAUUCGUCACACUAUCAUUAACUGAAUCCAUAGGUUAAUGAGGCGAACCGGGGGAACUGAAACAUCUAAGUACCCCGAGGAAAAGAAAUCAACCGAGAUUCCCCCAGUAGCGGCGAGCGAACGGGGAGCAGCCCAGAGCCUGAAUCAGUGUGUGUGUUAGUGGAAGCGUCUGGAAAGGCGCGCGAUACAGGGUGACAGCCCCGUACACAAAAAUGCACAUGCUGUGAGCUCGAUGAGUAGGGCGGGACACGUGGUAUCCUGUCUGAAUAUGGGGGGGACCAUCCUCCAAGGCUAAAUACUCCUGACUGACCGAUAGUGAACCAGUACCGUGAGGGAAAGGCGAAAAGAACCCCGGCGAGGGGAGUGAAAAAGAACCUGAAACCGUGUACGUACAAGCAGUGGGAGCACAGAGCAAUCUGUGUGACUGCGUACCUUUUGUAUAAUGGGUCAGCGACUUAUAUUCUGUAGCAAGGUUAACCGAAUAGGGGAGCCGAAGGGAAACCGAGUCUUAACUGGGCGUUAAGUUGCAGGGUAUAGACCCGAAACCCGGUGAUCUAGCCAUGGGCAGGUUGAAGGUUGGGUAACACUAACUGGAGGACCGAACCGACUAAUGUUGAAAAAUUAGCGGAUGACUUGUGGCUGGGGGUGAAAGGCCAAUCAAACCGGGAGAUAGCUGGUUCUCCCCGAAAGCUAUUUAGGUAGCGCCUCGUGAAUUCAUCUCCGGGGGUAGAGCACUGUUUCGGCAAGGGGGUCAUCCCGACUUACCAACCCGAUGCAAACUGCGAAUACCGGAGAAUGUUAUCACGGGAGACACACGGCGGGUGCUAACGUCCGUCGUGAAGAGGGAAACAACCCAGACCGCCAGCUAAGGUCCCAAAGUCAUGGUUAAGUGGGAAACGAUGUGGGAAGGCCCAGACAGCCAGGAUGUUGGCUUAGAAGCAGCCAUCAUUUAAAGAAAGCGUAAUAGCUCACUGGUCGAGUCGGCCUGCGCGGAAGAUGUAACGGGGCUAAACCAUGCACCGAAGCUGCGGCAGCGACGCUGAUGCGUUGUUGGGUAGGGGAGCGUUCUGUAAGCCUGUGAAGGUGUGCUGUGAGGCAUGCUGGAGGUAUCAGAAGUGCGAAUGCUGACAUAAGUAACGAUAAAGCGGGUGAAAAGCCCGCUCGCCGGAAGACCAAGGGUUCCUGUCCAACGUUAAUCGGGGCAGGGUGAGUCGACCCCUAAGGCGAGGCCGAAAGGCGUAGUCGAUGGGAAACAGGUUAAUAUUCCUGUACUUGGUGUUACUGCGAAGGGGGGACGGAGAAGGCUAUGUUGGCCGGGCGACGGUUGUCCCGGUUUAAGCGUGUAGGCUGGUUUUCCAGGCAAAUCCGGAAAAUCAAGGCUGAGGCGUGAUGACGAGGCACUACGGUGCUGAAGCAACAAAUGCCCUGCUUCCAGGAAAAGCCUCUAAGCAUCAGGUAACAUCAAAUCGUACCCCAAACCGACACAGGUGGUCAGGUAGAGAAUACCAAGGCGCUUGAGAGAACUCGGGUGAAGGAACUAGGCAAAAUGGUGCCGUAACUUCGGGAGAAGGCACGCUGAUAUGUAGGUGAAGUCCCUCGCGGAUGGAGCUGAAAUCAGUCGAAGAUACCAGCUGGCUGCAACUGUUUAUUAAAAACACAGCACUGUGCAAACACGAAAGUGGACGUAUACGGUGUGACGCCUGCCCGGUGCCGGAAGGUUAAUUGAUGGGGUCAGCGCAAGCGAAGCUCUUGAUCGAAGCCCCGGUAAACGGCGGCCGUAACUAUAACGGUCCUAAGGUAGCGAAAUUCCUUGUCGGGUAAGUUCCGACCUGCACGAAUGGCGUAAUGAUGGCCAGGCUGUCUCCACCCGAGACUCAGUGAAAUUGAACUCGCUGUGAAGAUGCAGUGUACCCGCGGCAAGACGGAAAGACCCCGUGAACCUUUACUAUAGCUUGACACUGAACAUUGAGCCUUGAUGUGUAGGAUAGGUGGGAGGCUUUGAAGUGUGGACGCCAGUCUGCAUGGAGCCGGCCUUGAAAUACCACCCUUUAAUGUUUGAUGUUCUAACGUUGACCCGUGAUCCGGGUUGCGGACAGUGUCUGGUGGGUAGUUUGACUGGGGCGGUCUCCUCCUAAAGAGUAACGGAGGAGCACGAAGGUUGGCUAAUCCUGGUCGGACAUCAGGAGGUUAGUGCAAUGGCAUAAGCCAGCUUGACUGCGAGCGUGACGGCGCGAGCAGGUGCGAAAGCAGGUCAUAGUGAUCCGGUGGUUCUGAAUGGAAGGGCCAUCGCUCAACGGAUAAAAGGUACUCCGGGGAUAACAGGCUGAUACCGCCCAAGAGUUCAUAUCGACGGCGGUGUUUGGCACCUCGAUGUCGGCUCAUCACAUCCUGGGGCUGAAGUAGGUCCCAAGGGUAUGGCUGUUCGCCAUUUAAAGUGGUACGCGAGCUGGGUUUAGAACGUCGUGAGACAGUUCGGUCCCUAUCUGCCGUGGGCGCUGGAGAACUGAGGGGGGCUGCUCCUAGUACGAGAGGACCGGAGUGGACGCAUCACUGGUGUUCGGGUUGUCAUGCCAAUGGCACUGCCCGGUAGCUAAAUGCGGAAGAGAUAAGUGCUGAAAGCAUCUAAGCACGAAACUUGCCCCGAGAUGAGUUCUCCCUGACUCCUUGAGAGUCCUGAAGGAACGUUGAAGACGACGACGUUGAUAGGCCGGGUGUGUAAGCGCAGCGAUGCGUUGAGCUAACCGGUACUAAUGAACCGUGAGGCUUAACCUUACAACGCCGAAGGUGUUU
RNAcentral lists this ribosomal RNA (2934 nucleotides) under Escherichia coli. Its description in RNAcentral is "23S ribosomal RNA". It matches the Rfam family "Bacterial large subunit ribosomal RNA". The record is from RNAcentral. Lineage: Bacteria; Pseudomonadati; Pseudomonadota; Gammaproteobacteria; Enterobacterales; Enterobacteriaceae.